This 285-nucleotide long non-coding RNA is filed under the name Sorghum bicolor (sorghum). Its description in RNAcentral is "long non-coding RNA (SBIC_LNC001770)". Lineage: Eukaryota; Viridiplantae; Streptophyta; Magnoliopsida; Poales; Poaceae. The record is from RNAcentral.
GAACCUCCGACCCUCCCGGGUCCGAGGAUGGCGGGAGGACGCGGCCAGGCCGAGGAACCUCCGACUGGACCGGGCUAAGGAGGAACUCCCGGGGUGGCCGGGUCGAGCAACCUCCGGCCCAGCCGGGCUGAGGAACCUCCGACACCAAAGCGUCGGAGGAUCCGCAACUAGGCGGAGGAUCCAAGCCUCCGACCAGCUGAGGCCCCAGACAGAGGAUGAAGGAAGGGCUUGCAAUGUGAAAUUACGCAGGUGUAUUAGGGUCAGUAGACUGUGAUGAAAGAAUAU